AGGUUUCACCCAGAUGCUCCGAAGCCUUAUUACUACUACUACCCGUUUUCUCUCGGUCCACGCUCUUGCCUGGGUAAGAGCUUUGCUGAGAUGGAAGCUAAAGUGGUGAUGGCCAAACUGCUGCAGAGGUUUGAGUUCACGCUCGUCCCGGGACAGACCUUUGACAUCUUGGACACCGGCACUCUCAGACCCAAGAGCUGAGUGGUGUGCACUGUCCAACAACGGCAAUAAAUGGCCAUAGCAACGUCAUAAACAAGAAAAUAGUGAUACUUUUGUGCAAAG
This is a long non-coding RNA of Thalassophryne amazonica, 282 nucleotides long. RefSeq lists it as uncharacterized. The record is from RefSeq and is a predicted model, not a curated record. The transcript is spliced from 3 exons. Lineage: Eukaryota; Metazoa; Chordata; Actinopteri; Batrachoidiformes; Batrachoididae.